AUGGCUAUAUCAUGUUGAAACACUGGUUCUUAUACGAUCACCAAAGUUAAGCAAUGCCGAAUCUGGUCAAUACCUAGAUGGGUGACCGAUUAGGAAUACCAGGUGCUGUAAG
Molecule: ribosomal RNA, 112 nt
Filed under: Acanthosepion pharaonis
Lineage: Eukaryota; Metazoa; Mollusca; Cephalopoda; Sepiida; Sepiidae
Source: RNAcentral